RNAcentral lists this ribosomal RNA (463 nucleotides) under Escherichia coli. RNAcentral's name for it is "bacterial SSU rRNA". It matches the Rfam family "Bacterial small subunit ribosomal RNA", at positions 30 to 481 of the family's 1533-position model. Lineage: Bacteria; Pseudomonadati; Pseudomonadota; Gammaproteobacteria; Enterobacterales; Enterobacteriaceae. The record is from RNAcentral.
AUUGAACGCUGGCGGCAGGCCUAACACAUGCAAGUCGAACGGUAACAGGAAGCAGCUUGCUGCUUUGCUGACGAGUGGCGGACGGGUGAGUAAUGUCUGGGAAACUGCCUGAUGGAGGGGGAUAACUACUGGAAACGGUAGCUAAUACCGCAUAACGUCGCAAGACCAAAGAGGGGGACCUUCGGGCCUCUUGCCAUCGGAUGUGCCCAGAUGGGAUUAGCUAGUAGGUGGGGUAACGGCUCACCUAGGCGACGAUCCCUAGCUGGUCUGAGAGGAUGACCAGCCACACUGGAACUGAGACACGGUCCAGACUCCUACGGGAGGCAGCAGUGGGGAAUAUUGCACAAUGGGCGCAAGCCUGAUGCAGCCAUGCCGCGUGUAUGAAGAAGGCCUUCGGGUUGUAAAGUACUUUCAGCGGGGAGGAAGGGAGUAAAGUUAAUACCUUUGCUCAUUGACUUACCCG